CCAACGGCCCUUUUAAGGGCCACCACAUAAUACGAAGAGCUUAAAUU
Regulatory RNA element from Orchesella cincta, 47 nucleotides. It matches the Rfam family "Histone 3' UTR stem-loop". Rfam says of the family: The mRNAs of metazoan histone genes lack a poly-A tail. 3' end processing occurs at a site between a highly conserved stem-loop (modelled by this family) and a purine rich region around 20 nts downstream (the histone downstream element, or HDE). Lineage: Eukaryota; Metazoa; Arthropoda; Collembola; Entomobryomorpha; Orchesellidae. The record is from Rfam.